UACGGAGGAUGCGAGCGUUGUUCGGAAUCAUUGGGCGUAAAGCGCGCGCAGGCGGCUUGGUGAGUCAGAUGUGAAAGCCCUGGGCUUAACCCAGGAAGUGCAUUUGAUACUGCCUCGCUAGAGUACGGGAGAGGAAAGUGGAAUUCCUGGUGUAGAGGUGAAAUUCGUAGAUAUCAGGUGGAACACCGGUGGCGAAGGCGACUUUCUGGCCCUAUACUGACGCUGAGACGCGAGAGCGUGGGUAGCAAACAGGAUUAGAUACCUGGUAGUCC
This 272-nucleotide ribosomal RNA is filed under the name uncultured bacterium. RNAcentral describes it as "partial 16S ribosomal RNA". It matches the Rfam family "Bacterial small subunit ribosomal RNA", at positions 524 to 796 of the family's 1533-position model. The record is from RNAcentral.